RNAcentral lists this ribosomal RNA (535 nucleotides) under uncultured Glomus. RNAcentral's name for it is "SSU rRNA". It matches the Rfam family "Eukaryotic small subunit ribosomal RNA", at positions 569 to 1092 of the family's 1831-position model. Lineage: Eukaryota; Fungi; Glomeromycota; Glomeromycetes; Glomerales; Glomeraceae. The record is from RNAcentral.
AGCAGCCGCGGUAAUUCCAGCUCCAAUAGCGUAUAUUAAAGUUGUUGCAGUUAAAAAGCUCGUAGUUGAAUUUCGGGAUCAAUACGUCGGUCGUGCUUCGGUACGUACUGGCGUCAUUGAUUUCUCCCUUCUGACGAACCAUGAUGUCAUUAACUUGGUGUCAUGGGAAAUCAGGACUGUUACUUUGAAAAAAUUAGAGUGUUUAAAGCAGGCUCACGCUUGAAUACAUUAGCAUGGAAUAAUGAAAUAGGACGUUCGAUCCUAUUUUGUUGGUUCUAUUUUGUUGGUUUUUAGGAUCAACGUAAUGAUUAAUAGGGAUAGUUGGGGGCAUUAGUAUUCAAUUGUCAGAGGUGAAAUUCUUGGAUUUAUUGAAGACUAACUACUGCGAAAGCAUUUGCCAAGGAUGUUUUCAUUAAUCAAGAACGAAAGUUAGGGGAUCGAAGACGAUCAGAUACCGUCGUAGUCUUAACCAUAAACUAUGCCGACUAGGGAUCGGAUGAUGUUAAUUUUUUAAUGACUCAUUCGGCGCCUUACG